This 113-nucleotide microRNA precursor is filed under the name Marmota monax (woodchuck). The record is from RNAcentral. Lineage: Eukaryota; Metazoa; Chordata; Mammalia; Rodentia; Sciuridae.
UGAGUAGAUGAGCCUAGGCCACUAUUGUCUAUCACCCAGUGACAAUCUUCUAAGGGGUCCCCUCUAGGAAGAUUGUCACUGGGUGAUAGACAAUAGUGGCCUAGACUCAUCUA